CAGUUUCGAUAUAGGCUUACUCUGAAGACCAGUGGAACCAGAGGACUGUCACCAUGCCACCAGCUGCAUUUCUACUGUCAUCACAGUCAAGUGCUUUGACUCAUCCUCCACACUAAUGAAACUCAUAGGAGGAUUCACUUGAGUCAGUUCCUUAACUCUGGCUCACUGAGUUUCCCUGUUGAGUGUUUUGCUGCUUGGAAAAUGGGAGGAACAGCUAUCGAUGCAUCCCACUAAGAAAGUAGAGAGCAGAAGACAGAUGCAUAAGCAGAAAAUGGAUUGCCAACACUGUUGUCACAUUAAGCACGUGUGGUACAAAAGGAUCUAGCAGGAUGGAAAGUGAGAAAUGCAUCCUCAGGUCCAGGCGAGCCCCUUGCCACAUGCCAUUCUUCAUUUAAAGGGCAACCCUCUUCUGUUAAUCUCUCAGGGCAUUGCAGGCAAAUGGAACAAUGUGUAAAACAACAGCAGAGGCAUGAAACUGCAGAACUCAUUAAUUCAGAUGCAAUGUGGGGAUGUUCCACAGCAGCUUCACGUGGAUGUUGUGAGGGUGAAAAAGGAGGAAACACAUUUUAGAUACAUAAGGAUAGAAACUGAUGGGCAGUUGGUGGAGUGGCCAGCCUCUGCAAAGUGGCCUGAUCGGAUUCCUGAGCUUCUAGGUCAUCGGGCAGGACUGCGACUGGCCGGAGCCAAUGCUACUCCCUCCUGACCUUGAAAGGUG
RNAcentral lists this long non-coding RNA (715 nucleotides) under Equus asinus (donkey). RNAcentral's name for it is "lncRNA (ENSEASG00005028615.1)". Lineage: Eukaryota; Metazoa; Chordata; Mammalia; Perissodactyla; Equidae. The record is from RNAcentral.